AAGCCUACUCCAAUUAUUAGCUCACAUCGACGGGAAGUUUUGGCACCUCGAUGUCGGCUCUUCGCCACCUGGAGCUGUAGUAUAUGUUUUAAGGGUUGGACCGUUCGUCCAUUAAAGUGGUACGUGAGCUGGAUUCAGAACGUCGUGAGGCAGUUC
RNAcentral lists this non-coding RNA (156 nucleotides) under Medicago truncatula (barrel medic). Its description in RNAcentral is "Bacterial large subunit ribosomal RNA". It matches the Rfam family "Bacterial large subunit ribosomal RNA", at positions 2479 to 2632 of the family's 2925-position model. The record is from Rfam by way of RNAcentral. Lineage: Eukaryota; Viridiplantae; Streptophyta; Magnoliopsida; Fabales; Fabaceae.